AGCUUUGCACGGUGGCAGUAUUGUAGCCAAUGAGAUCUAUUCGAGGCGUGAUUAUUGCUAAUUGAAAACUUCUCCCAACCCCCCCCACCCGCCACCAUGACAUCUUAAAAUAUAGUCACACUGGCAAUUUUUGACAGUCUCUAUGGAGA
This is a small nuclear RNA of Erinaceus europaeus (western European hedgehog), 149 nucleotides long. Its record names the gene U4. It matches the Rfam family "U4 spliceosomal RNA". From Rfam's summary of the family: U4 small nuclear RNA (U4 snRNA) is a component of the major U2-dependent spliceosome. The structure of U4 snRNA from yeast and human has been reported. Lineage: Eukaryota; Metazoa; Chordata; Mammalia; Eulipotyphla; Erinaceidae. The record is from Ensembl.